This 8749-nucleotide long non-coding RNA is filed under the name Nicotiana benthamiana. RNAcentral describes it as "long non-coding RNA (NBEN_LNC009304)". Lineage: Eukaryota; Viridiplantae; Streptophyta; Magnoliopsida; Solanales; Solanaceae. The record is from RNAcentral.
UUUUUUGCGUCUGUUUUUCCUAGUUUUGUGCAGUAUCAGCUGUAGAUCGAAUUUGGAUCUUGGUAAUUUAUUUGUUUUGCUUCUCUAAAAGCUUUUUACUUUAUCUUUGUCUUGAUUUUACUUGGUCAAUUUUGUGUAAUCCUCUGCAUUUUCCCUACAUUUACCCUACUACUGUCAGGGCUACAUCAGUGGUAGCGGUGUCAGCCCUUUUGAUUUUUGGGUCGUGAUAUUUUUUCUGUGUUUUCAGGUAAUUUUCGAACUUAAGAAAGACAAGUUGGGCGCACAAACACUAGCAAAGGAGAGUAACCGGGAAGAGCGACAUAAAAGGACGGUGGGAAGCGGAUCGUGAGCAUACCAAUGCAUCGAGUACAACAAGUUAACACAGGUUUGGUUCGCAGGAGUUGGUACCUCUCGUUCUACGGUUUCCUUUUGGUGUUAGCUAACUUGAGGUUACUUUAGAUCAAAAUAGUUCAAUAAUUCUACUUGUGUACUUGUAGGCACUUGCAUAUUUUAGUUUGAUUCGUUGUCUGUUGUGCUCUAGCGAGUUUCUUCAUAUUGGAUGUAGGUGUAGUGGCUGCAGUCUGGGAUGAUAGAUUGAGGGCAUGUCCUCGUGUGGAGAAGAGUGUGGGGACGGGGUCAGGGUGUGGGACGGGAGGACGGGGAGGUAGAGGGGGCAAGGGAGCCUAUAGGUUGAGAAUCGGGUCAUGGAACAUAGGUUCGCUAACAAGUAGAUCAAUAGUGUUGGCGAAGAUCCUUCAAAAGAGGAAGAUUAAUAUAGCGUGUGUCCAUGAGAUGAGGUAGGUAGGAUCGAGGGUGAGAAACACGGAUGGGUAUAAGCUGUGGUACUCUGGAGGCUUGAGGGGUAAGAACGAAGUGGGUAUUCUGGUUGAUAGCCACCUUAGAGAGUCGAUGGUUGAGGUAGGCGGGUGAAUGAUAGACUAAUGACCGUUAAGUUCGUGGUGGGUGAGUGUACUUUAAAUGUCAUCAGCGCAUAUGCACCGCACAUAGGCUUGAAUGAGGAGAUUAAAAGGCGCUUUUGGGAGGGGUUGGAUGACAUCGUUCGUAGUAUUCCGCUUUNNNNNNNNNNNNNNNNNNNNNNNNNNNNNNNNNNNNNNNNNNNNNNNNNNNNNNNNNNNNNNNNNNNNNNNNNNNNNNNNNNNNNNNNNNNNNNNNNNAUCAUUCGUAGUAUUCCGUUUUCCGAGAGGUUGUUUAUAGGAGGAGAUUUUAAUGGUCAUAUUGGGUCAUCUGCAGGUUGUUAUACUGCGGUACAUGGCGGCUUUGGUUUCAGAGAGCGGAAUGGAGGGGAAACUUCAUUGCUGGACUUCGCCAAGGCAUUCGAUUUAAUGAUUGCAAACUCUAGUUUUCCUAAGCGGGAGGAGCAUUUGGUCACUUACCAAAGUUCGGUGGCGAAGACUCAGAUUGACUAUCUCCUUCUCGGGAGAUGUGACAGAAGGUUGUGCGUGGAUUGUAAAGUUAUCCCAGGUGAGACCCUUGCGACACAAAAUAGGCUUUUGGUGAUGGACAUUAGUAUUAUAAUAAGGAGGAAGAAGAGGUCAGUAUGAGGCUGCCCGAGGAUAAGGUGGCGCGCCCUGACUGAGGAUAAAGCUCAGGCGUUGGUAGGAAGGUUAUCAGAAUUGGUAUCUUGGAGAAGUAGUGGGGAUGCAAAUACUAUGUUGUCAACGACGACAGAAUGCAUAAGGAAGGCGGCGAUAGAGGUGCUAGGACAUCUUCGCGACGCACUGGGGGCCACGAAGGAGACUUUUGGUGUAAUGCAGUUGUCCAAGGUAAAGUGGAAGCGAAGAAGGCAGCUUACCUACGGGUAGUAGAGAGCACUGGAGAGGAGGAGAAGAGAGAGAACAAUGAGAGAUAUAAGGUUGCUAGGAGGGAGGCGAAAAUGGCAGUUACGGAGGCUAAGCCGACAGCUUAUUCUCGUAUGUAUGAGGAGCUAGGGAACAAAGGUGGGAAGAAGAAGCUGUUUCAACUGGCUAAGGUGAGAGAGAGGAUGGCUCAGCAUCUAGACCAAGUGAGAUGCAUAAAAGAUGAUAACGGCAAAGUUUUGAUGGGGGAUGAGCAUACAAGAGGAGAUGGCAGACAUACUUUCAUAAACUUCAUAAUGAAGAAGGGGAUCAGGAUACUGUACUAGGUGAUUUGUGAAAUCUUGAUAGACCAUAUGAGAUAAGUGAUUGUAGGGACUUCGAGGUUGAGGAGGUCAUAGAGGCAAUGCAUAAGAUGAGGAAGGGCAGAGCAACCGGACCAGACGAAAUUCCGGUUGAACUUUGGAAGUGUGUAGGCGGAGGAGGCUUGGAAUGGCUUACCGGAUUGUUUAAUGUUAUAUUCAAGACUAAUAGGAUGCCUGAAGAGUGGAGGUAUAGAACAAUGAUUCCAUUGUAUAAGUACAUAGGUGAUAUCUAGAGUUGUAACAGCUAUAGGGGUAUCAAAUUACUGAGUCAUACCAUGCAAGUCUGGGAGAGAAUAGUAGAAAUGAGAGUACGAAGGACAAUGUCUAUUUCAGACAAUCAGUUCGGAUUCAUGCCAGGGUGAUCUACCACAGAAGCUAUCCACCUUGUUAGGAGGAUCGUGGAACAAUACAGGGAUAAGAAGAAGGAUCUCCACAUGGUAUUUAUUGAUCUAGAGAAAGCGUACGACAGGGUUCCUAAGAAGGUCUUAUGGAGCUGCUUAGAGGGUAAAGGGGUUCCGGUAGCCUACAUUAGGGUGAUUAUAGACAUGUAUGAAAGAGCUAAGAUUCGGGUUAGGGUUCCUAUGGAGGUCUUAUGGAGAUGCUUAGAGGUUAAAGGAGUCCCAGUUUCCUACAUAAGGGUUUUUUCUUAAUUAUUGAAUUGAAGUUAUAUAAAAAAUGAACUGACAAAGCGUCUGUUCACGGAGUGAUUAAAGACAUGUAUGAUGGAGCUAAGACUCGGUUUAGGAUAGUAGGAGGCGACUCCUAGCAUUUUCCGAUUGUUACGGGGUUGCACCAAGGUUCUUUGUUCAGCCCUUUCCUCUUUGCCCUGGUGAUGGAUGCCAUAACGCAUAAUAUUCAAGGAGAGGUACCAUGGUGUAUGAUAUUUGCUGAUGAUAUAGUCCUAAUUGACGAGACAAGACGUGGCGUCAACGGGAGACUAGAGGUUUGGAGACAAGCUCCUGAGUCUAAAGGUUUCAGGUUGAGCAGGACGAAGACGGAAUAUCUUGAGUGCAAGUUUGGGCUCGAGCCGACGGACGCGGGAGUAGAACUGAGGCUUGACUCCCAUGUCAUCCCUCAGACGGUAGUUUCAAGUACCUUGGGUUAGUUAUUCAGGGGACCGGGGAGUGACGGACGUGGGAGUAGAAGUCAGGCUUGACUCCCAAGUCAUCCCUUAGAGGGGUAGUUUCAAGUACCUUGGGUCGGCUAUUCAGGGGACCGGGGAGAUCAACGAGGAUGUCGCACACCGUAUAGGGGUGGGGUGGAUGAAGUGGAGGUUAGCAACAUGAGUCAUGUGUGACAAGAAAGUGUCAUUGUUACUCAAAGGUAAUUUUUAUCGAGCAGUGGUUAGAUCGACCAUGUUGUAUGGGACCGAGUGUUGGCCAGUUAAAGACUCUCACAUCCAGAAGAUGCAAGUAGCAGAGAUGAGGAUGUUGAGGUGGAUGUGUGGUCAUACAAGUAUGGAUAAGAUUAGGAAUGAAGUUAUUCGAGAGAGGAUGGGUGUGGAGCCCAUAGAGGACAAGAUGCGGGAAGUAAGACUCAGAUGGUUCGGGCAAAUUCAGAGGAGGAGCACUAAUGCACAGGUGAGAAGUUGUGAGCAAUUGGCGGUGCUGGACACGAGGAGAGGUAGAGGGAGACCUAAGAAUUAUUGGAGAGAGGUGAUCAGGCAGGACAUGAUGCGACUUAGGAUUACUGAGGGCAUGGCCCUUGACAUGGGAUUGUGGUAGUCGAGCAUUAAGGUUUUAGGUUGGGUGGAAGUUGGGAAUAUUUUUACAGCGCGCUAGAGUGAGACUAGAAGUUAGGCUUAGAAUCAGCUACUGAUGCAGGGCUUUAUAUUAUAGAUAUUAGUAUACUUUCCUCUUUCUCGUUUUCUUAUAUUCCUUAUAUUGUUAUUAUUUUAUUAUUUAUGUUAUGUUGUAUAUUUUAUGUUAUUUAUCAUGAGUUUAUUGCUAGUACUAAUAUAUUGCCAUUUGUUUUUGUUACAAGUUUCCUUCUUGAGCCGAGGAUCACCUGGAAACAGCCUCUCUGCCCUAAGGGUAGGUGUAAGGUCUGCGUACAUAUUACUCUCCCCAAACCCCACUUGUGGGAAUACACUGGGUUGUUGUUGUUGUAAGUUUGACUGGGCAAUAAGCUUUCCAAAAUUUGCUCACAAAAACUUGAAUACCAAAAUGAUCGACUACAUGGCAUACUAUCUUAGCGUCACCAGUGUAUAUAUAAAAAAACUAAAACUUAAAAUACAAUAUUUUUUAUGAUAGCAAUAAUGGUAGCAAUAGCGGUAGGAAGGAAAUUUUACGGUGGAAAAAACAUAGAAUGGAGGGGUAAAAUGGAUUAGGAGCAUUAAGGUGGCAAGCCAUAUGGUAUCCAUAUCAUCUCAUAUUGGUGUCAUGUAGUAUUACAUGUCUAUAUUGAAUAAACUUAACGAAAAAGGAGUACAUUUGAAUCAAUAGUAUAACAACAAGGAUACGAUUGGACUCAAAGUAUAAUGAAGAUACAUUUGGUAUAUGAGUAUAUUUGACCCUUUUUCGAAUUUAAUAUUAUCUUAUACUUCAUUUGAUUUUACAUUAUUAGCUUAUAAGCAUAUUGGUAUAAUUGAUAUAAUUUUGCACCACAUUUAAUGCAGAUAACCAGGGGUUUGUAAAACAAAUCGACUUAUAGCACCAAAUCGAUAAUUCAAGUCAAUCCGAUUAUUGAUUUUGCUUUAUUUGAUUUGGUGUUGAAAAAAAAAUCGACCAUAAUUGGUUUGGUUUGGUUUUAACUAAAAACAAAAAAUUCAAACCAAAACAAAAUCAACCCGACAUUAUAUUAGAAAUUUUAGACGUAUUUAAUAAAUAAAUAUACUUAUUGUGAUGUAAAUUAUAAAUAAUUCUUAAAAAUUUUUCAUAACGUUAUAGUUUAAGGUAUUAUUUCAAGAUUGAACUCAAAACUUUUGAAUGUUCCAAUAAAUUGUAUAGCGAUUAUUAUUAGUAACUCGAACAAUACUAAGUAACGUUUAAACCAAAAUCAAAUCAAUACUAAUGCUAACAAAAGACAUUUAAUUCAAUGUUAGGAAUGAAAAUGUAUUGAAUAUCUAUUUUUUUUUAUUUUGCAACGAUUUAGAUAAAAAUAUAUUACCUACUUUAUUUUUUCUUUGACGUUUGGUCAUGUAAUUAAUACUUCCUUAUUAGUCUAUUUAUUUUAUCAUGACUUAGUACUUUUAGAUUGCAUUUCUUUUUUCAUUAUGCCUUUUUAAUUAGAAAUAUUUAUAUUACGUGAUUUUAUUGUCUUUAUUAUUGAAUAUUUUAGGGUAGCGCCAUGACACAUCACAUAUUUUGUAUUAUUUUCUUGAAAAGCAUCUUAUACAGUUGUAUCUUACUAGAAUUAAAGAAAUAUUUGGAGCACAAGUUAUAUAUUUUGUGCUUUGAUGAUUUUACAGGGAAAAAACCUCCGAAAAAACACGAAAAACCCGAAAACCUGAGAUUGAAAAAUUCGAGUUUUAUUAGUUUGAUUUGGUCUUUAGAUUUAAUAACCCAACAAAAUUAAUUAGGUUUGGUAAUUAAAAAACCUGAGAUAACCCAACCUAUAUACACCCCUAUGGAUAACAAUCGAAGGUUAGCUAUAUCUAGAUAAAUCAAGUAAAUAACAAAAUCGUCCUUUAUAACAAUGGCCUUUUGUGAGGAUUACUGGGAAUGUUAAAUUGAAAUUAGAAAAAAAAAUUAUUCAAAUUUUGUUUACUUGAAAAUUGAACACAUUUUAAAUUGUUCAUCGUGUAUAUAUAUAUAUAUAUAUAUAUAUAUAUGUUAUUUUUAAUACAAUGAAAAGUAAUUGUGACGACCCGAGUCGCCGUCCCAUGUGUUACUGCUCUUUUUCUUCCGUUUAUUUCCUCUUCAAAAUUCAUUAUCGGUAUGUGGUGUGUGAAAGUUGAUUUGGAAGUGUUUUGAUAAGAAAUGAGGCACUUGGUCUCUUUAAGGAAGGCUUAAGUUGGAAAAGUAAACUGAACAUGACUUAUGAGUUAUAGAGCUCGGAUGUGAUUUUUGGUGAUUUCGUUGGCUUCGGAGGAUGAUUUGUGACUUAGGAGUGCGAUAGGGUCUAUUUUGGAGGUUCGGUGUAGAAUUUGGCCUGAAUUGGCGAAGUUAGUAUUUUGACAAAUUCCGGUGGAUAGGUGAGAAUUUGAUUCGAGGGUCGGAAUAGAAUUUCGAGAAUUGAUGUAGCUUUGUUAGGUGAUUUUGGAUAUGUGUGCAAAUUUUCAGGUCAUUCAGAUGUCGUUUGGUCAGGUUGCUGAUCGAUAGUGCAUUUCGGAAGUUUUUGAAGAACUUAGGCUUUGAUUUGAUGAAGUUCUAUGAUUUUGAUGUUAACGGUAGUGUUUUUAUGGUUCGCGCGAGUUUGUAUAAGGUAAUACAAUAUACAUGUGCUUUUGGUUGAGGUCCCGGGGUCCUCGGGCUAAGUUCGGGUGGUUAAACGGAGAGUUUUGCAGUUUUGGCAUGAUUUAAGCUUCUGGUACCUGGUAUUACGCAUAUGCGGAAAAAGGGGCCGCAUAAACGGUUCCGCAGAUGGGGUGGAAGGGGUCGCAAAAGCAGUCCUUGAGGGCCUGGGCAAUUCCGCAAAAACGGGCAGUGUUCUGCAAAAGCGGUCUCUACAGGAGCGGAAGUGGACCGUAGAAGUGGUACUGGGUGAGUUAGUGGAAACCGCAGAAGCGGGUUAGACACCACGGAUGCGAAAAUGACUAUUUUCAGAAGGGAUUUCAAAUGACAUUUCAUCCUUGACUUGGGGGUUAUUUUCCUCCAUUGUUGAGCAUCUUGGGAGCUUUUUGGCAGCAAUUGAAAAGGGUUUCGACUGGAGUUUAUUGGAGGUAGGAUUUUUGAGUUAAAAACAUGAUUAUAUUGUGAAAUUGGUCUAGAUAUUCAUGGAAAUUGAGCCUAAAACUUAUGAACUAGGGCUUGAAUUUUGAUAUUUCAAAUUUGGGAUUUGAUAGAUCAUUUGAGCUCGGAUUUGAGAGUUCUUGGUCUAUAUGGACUCGUGAUGAAAUGAGGACUCUGGUAAUGUGAGUUUUGUAAUUUUUUGGAAAGCGGACCUGUGGCUCGGGUUUUGGUAGUUUCGAGAUUUUUUUUAUUUCUCGGUUAUUUUCAAUUGAGUGUUGUUCCCUUAGCAUAUUGUGAUGCAUUCGCUCUGAUGUUGGUUAUAUACGACGCGCUGGAGGCCUGUUUGAGGAGCAAAGGCGUAGCGGCUAGAGAUUUCAUCAGUUCGAGGUGAGUAAUACUUGUAAAUGAUAUUCUAGUCAUUUGAGCUCGGAUUUGGGAGUUCUUGGAAUGGAUGGACUUGUGUCGAGAUGAGGAGUCCAGCAAUGUGAGUUUUGUAAUUUUUCGGAAAGCAGGUCUGGGGCUCAGAUUUUACAAGUUUCGAGAUUUUUGCUACUUCUCGAUUAUUUUCAAUUGACUGUUGUUCCCUUAGCAUAUUGUGAUGUAUUCGCUCUGAUGUUGGUCAGAUACGACGCGCGUGGAGGCCUAUUUGAGGAGCGAAGGCGUCGCGGGCUAGAGAUUUCACUAGUUCGAGGUGAGUAAUACUUGCAAAUGAUAUCCUGAGAGUUUGAAACCCCGGAUUUGCACAUCAUAGUACUGUAUUAAGGUGACUUGCACGCCGUAUAGGGGCAUGGGGUAGAGCACCGUUGGGGAUUGUGAUAUUGGUCCGCCCCGAUUGUUGAUUUUACUGCAUAUUUGACUGAAACUACUUGACAUUAUCCUGAUUUGGGCUAAUUGCAAUGUAUUGGGAUUCGUGCCGAUUAUUUGAAUCUUUCAGGGAUUGAUAUAAUUGUUUUUGAAUUAUGCUGCAUAUUAUUUUAUCUUGGUCCAAGGUUUUAAAUAUUGUUUUGCAAACUCAGCCAUUGUUCUAAGAUGUGAAAAACUUAAAUGAUAUUUUACUGACGUUUUGAGCUUAGAGUUGUUAUCUUAAUAUUGCCCAAGUGGCUUAUGUGUAUUUCUGGAUUGUGCAUGGAUCGGGCUGCACGUCGCAGCUGUGUGAUAUUGAUAUUGUGCUUGGGCUAUAGGAGCCCCUCCCGAGUCUGAACCUUCACAGUGAGCGCGGGUACCCAAAUGCAUCGGGUUGCGCGCCGCAGCAGUCAUAUGCAUUGCAUUACAUUCACGUAUUUGAUCCUAUUUGUACUACAUAACAUGGCAUUCAACACUCUCAUACAAUUGACAUCCAUGUUAUUUCUUGCACUAUUACCAAUACCCUUGUGUUAUUUGUUAAUGUAGUGUUGUGCCCGAGGGGCUGAUUUAUGUAAGAACUUGCACUAUCUGAUUUGCAUCCAUUUGCUUGACUGUUGGAAAAAGGAUAUUUUCAAAAGAGAUUGUUAAACUGAGUCAGAUAUUUUCAAAAGGAUUUUCUCGGACUUACUAUUUUCUCAGAGGGUCGUGAUGUACCAUAUUGCUUGAUAGAGUACUCUUACAUGACUUAUGGCCGCUUAGUUAUUAUUUACUCUUAUUAAUCACUAAGUUGGAGUACUCACUUUACUCCCUACACCUCAUGUGCAGUUGCAGGUAUUGUUCACCCGGUAGCGGGUUAUUAGCGGAUUGAAGGUAUUACUAUUGUAUCUGAGCAAGG